AUUUUCUACGGAAAAAUUGAAGCGAAUUUGCACAGUUACAUAUUAUACAUAUGUAUGUACGUAUAUGUAUCUCUUAUACACUUCAGGUUUUGAUGAUGGUCCCGUUUGUUAAGUGGCACUACCGGAGCUUGUUUACACACGCGCGAUUGGAGAUUCUUUAAAAUCUGCGAAAGAAUUGCGUCUGCAUUUUAUAGAAAUCACAUUCACUUAUAUUUAUACAUUUGUAUAUGUGCUUAUGUAUGCAUGGAGGUACAUAUGUAUGUAUUUGUGACAAAUGGAAAGUGAAAAUUUAUUGUAUCCGAAAUUGCACCAAAUCACAUAAAAGCAUUAAUCUGCAUUUUCACUCAAUGAAACUCACUUCCACAACAACAAAGGAGGUUUAUCCGCAUACUCGUUGGGUUUAAUGAUGAUUUUGCAUACACACAAAUAGAUAUACAUAUAUGUAUUGACUAGCGGAAAAGUUCAUUCAAUCAUAGAGAGAAAACCCGGAAGAGCGGAAUGAAACUUGCGUACUCAAUUCUCUAAACGAGGUGAAGGACUAGUUUUAUUGUUAAACCUACACAGCAAUCGCCCUCGACAGGUAAUGGCAAACCUCCGAGUAUAUUUCUGCAUUGAAAAAGCC
This is a long non-coding RNA of Rhagoletis pomonella (apple maggot), 622 nucleotides long. RefSeq lists it as uncharacterized. The record is from RefSeq and is a predicted model, not a curated record. The transcript has 4 exons. Lineage: Eukaryota; Metazoa; Arthropoda; Insecta; Diptera; Tephritidae.